RNAcentral lists this unclassified non-coding RNA (252 nucleotides) under plant metagenome. RNAcentral describes it as "partial contains small subunit ribosomal RNA, internal transcribed spacer 1, and 5.8S ribosomal RNA". The record is from RNAcentral.
UCUCCGUUGGUGAACCAGCGGAGGGAUCAUUACCGAGUUUACAACUCCCAAACCCCUGUGAACUUAUACCUUUACUGUUGCUUCGGCGGGUUACUGCCCCGGGGAAACAGGCGGCCGUCAGGUCCCUGCCCACCCGGAAACAGGCGCCCGCCGGGGGACUCAAACUCUUCUGUAUUUUUUUGUUUACUGUAUACUGUCUGAGUAAAAAUUCAUAAUGAAUCAAAACUUUCAACAACGGAUCUCUUGGUUCUG